UCCCGUGUGGCUCAGUUGGUAGAGCAUGGUGUUUGCAACGCCAGGGUCGUGGGUUCAAUUCCCACGGGGAA
RNAcentral lists this transfer RNA (71 nucleotides) under Salmo salar (Atlantic salmon). It matches the Rfam family "tRNA". From Rfam's summary of the family: Transfer RNA (tRNA) molecules are approximately 80 nucleotides in length. The record is from Rfam by way of RNAcentral. Lineage: Eukaryota; Metazoa; Chordata; Actinopteri; Salmoniformes; Salmonidae.